This 253-nucleotide ribosomal RNA is filed under the name uncultured bacterium. RNAcentral describes it as "partial 16S ribosomal RNA". It matches the Rfam family "Bacterial small subunit ribosomal RNA", at positions 524 to 776 of the family's 1533-position model. The record is from RNAcentral.
UACGUAGGGUGCGAGCGUUAAUCGGAAUUACUGGGCGUAAAGCGUGCGCAGGCGGUUCUCCAAGUCCGUUGUGAAAGCCCCGGGCUCAACCUGGGAAUGGCAGUGGAAACUAGGGGACUGGAAUCUGGCAGAGGGGGGUGGAAUGCCGCGUGUAGCAGUGAAAUGCGAAGAGAUGCGGCGGAACACCGAUGGCGAAGGCAGCCCCCUGGGCUGAGAUUGACGCUCAGGCACGAAAGCGUGGGGAGCAAACAGG